RNAcentral lists this ribosomal RNA (1597 nucleotides) under metagenome. Its description in RNAcentral is "SSU rRNA". It matches the Rfam family "Eukaryotic small subunit ribosomal RNA", at positions 1 to 1420 of the family's 1831-position model. The record is from RNAcentral.
ACUGGUUGAUCCUGCCAGUAGUCAUAUGCUUGUCUCAAAGACUAAGCCAUGCAUGUCCAAGUAUAAAUUGUGCAUUUUUGUACUGUGAAACUGCGAAUGGCUCAUUAAAUCAGUUAUGGUCUCUUUGAUAGUGUUUGCAACACUUGUGUUGUGCUAUAUGGAUAGCCGUGGCAAUUCUAGAGCUAAUACAUGCGACAAGGCCCUGGUGUGUGGGGAGGAGUGCACUUGUGUAUUCUUUUCUUCUGUUGGGGCUGCAUUUAUUAGAUACAAGCCGACAAUUUUAAUGUUUGGUGAAUCACAAUAACUUUGCUGACCUUUGAGUUUUUUUUGCUCGAAGGUAAAUCAUUCGAAUUUCUGCCCUAUCAACUUUCGAUGGUAAGGUAUUGGCUUACCAUGGUGAUCACGGGUGACGGGGAACAUUUGGUUCGAUUCCGGAGAGGGAGCCUGAGAGACGGCUACCACUUCCAAGGAAGGCAGCAGGCGCGCAAAUUACCCAAUCCUGACACAGGGAGGUAGUGACAAUAAAUACCAAUGCGUUGCAGAUUUCUGUGAUGCAAUUGGAAUGAGAACAACUUAAUGAACUUAUCGAGAACCAAUUGGAGGGCAAGUCUGGUGCCAGCAGCCGCGGUAAUUCCAGCUCCAAUAGCGUAUACUAAAGUUGUUGCAGUUAAAAAGCUCGUAGUCUGAUUUCGGGGUGCAAUUUUUUUUCCGCGUGGUUUUUUUGAUGUGGCAUUUAGUUUUUGGAUUUCGGUCCUUAAUUAUUUGCUGCGUUUGCUGUGUGGAUGCACCUCUUUUUCCCAUUUAUCCUGUGGAUGCAUUGAUUUGCUUCUGCGUUUGGAUGUUUGGGGCUUUUACUUUGAAAAAAUUAGAGUGUUCAAAGCAGGCGGAUUUUAUUUGCUUGAAUAGAUUAGCAUGGAACAACAGAAGAGGACUUUUGGGCCUGUAUUUUGUUGGCCGGUUGGUACUUUCUUUUGAGGGUGUCUUCCGCAGGUCUGAAGUAAUGAUUAAUAGGGAUGGUUGGGGGCAUUGGUAUUUCACAGUCAGAGGUGAAAUUCUUGGAUUUGUGAAAGACGACCGACUGCGAAAGCAUUUGCCAAGGACAUUUUCAUUGAUCAAGAACGAAAGUUGGGGGAUCGAAGACGAUUAGACACCGUCGUAGUCCCAUACCAUAAACGAUGCCGACUAGCGCUCGGUGGGCAGCACUUUUUAGGUGAUUUUGGGUGGCCUUGUGUCACCUGUCACCGAUAGUGGCGCCAUCGGGAGCUUUUAGGGAAACCAAAGUGUUUGGGCUCCGGGGGUAGUAUGGUCGCAAGAUUGAAACUUAAAGGAAUUGACGGAAGGGCACCACCAGGAGGUGGAAUGUGCGGCUCAAUUUGACCCAACACGGGAAAACUCACCAGGUCCAGACAUGGCAAGGAUUGACAGAUUGACAGCUCUUUCUUGAUUCCAAGGGUGGUGGUGCAAGGCCGUUCUUAGUUCGUGGGGUGACUUGUCUGGUUGAUUCCGAUAACGAGCGAGACCUUAACCUACUAACUUGUGCGGCAAAACAUCAGCCCUUUCUUUUGAAGGGGUUGAUUCAAUGUUUUGUUGCAGGUAC